Apis cerana (Asiatic honeybee) is the source of this 646-nucleotide long non-coding RNA. RefSeq lists it as uncharacterized. The record is from RefSeq and is a predicted model, not a curated record. NCBI's taxonomy places the organism in Eukaryota, Metazoa, Arthropoda, Insecta, Hymenoptera, Apidae.
UUUACCUCGGCUGCGACCUUUUGCGUGGCCACGACUACGAGUUGUAACCGGUUUCGAAGCAACUGCACGAUGCUUUUCCACAAGCGCCAUGAAAGCUGGAGUACAAAAGACGCAACCAGUCAUUUCCGUACUUUCAUUAGGUGCAGCUGAAGGAUCAAGGACGAGUAUACCAGCAUUACAUUCUAGACAACUCGAUAUACCAUUAGAAUUCAUGCCAUGUGGACAGGUCGGAUGUGUACAAGAAUUGCAACCACUUAUUCCUUUUUUCAUAUCUCUAAAAUUUAUAAUUUUUUUUUAUAAUUAAGAUUUUUAUGUUUUAUGUUUUAAAAUUGAAUACAUUCAUAUGAUUCAGAAUUACCUAAAUGGAGGAUUAUUGUAACAAUAUGGACAGAAUGUGAAACUUUUUCCUCGUGCUCCAGUAGACCAUGAUAAUAAUUCGAAAUCAUCUAAUGGACAUUUCAAUUCCUUAUAAAUUCGAAUAUUUCCAUUCUGUGGAAGAUUAUACGUUUCGUUACAGUGUGCGCAAUGCAUUCUAGAUGGCUUUGUUUGUAUAUAUUUCAUGUAGCGUCGACAUUUUCCACAUCUAUAUAAAAAAUAUUAUCAAUAAAAAAUAAAUAUUUAUAAAUAAGAUAAAUAUUUAAAAUAA